CCGGCGGACGGGUGCGUAACGCGUAUGCAACCUGCCUGACACAGGGGGAUAAUCCGAAGAAAUUUGGUCUAAUACCCCAUAAUACCGAUAUAGGCAUCUAUGUUGGUUGAAAGCUUUGGUGGUGUCAGAUGGGCAUGCGUUGUAUUAGCUAGUUGGUGAGGUAACGGCUCACCAAGGCGGCGAUACAUAGGGGGACUGAGAGGUUAACCCCCCACACUGGUACUGAGACACGGACCAGACUCCUACGGGAGGCAGCAUG
RNAcentral lists this ribosomal RNA (259 nucleotides) under uncultured bacterium. RNAcentral describes it as "partial 16S ribosomal RNA". It matches the Rfam family "Bacterial small subunit ribosomal RNA", at positions 95 to 353 of the family's 1533-position model. The record is from RNAcentral.